AGUGCCCCAAAUUUUGGUAACUAGUUUACCAAAUGUGUUUUUCUCUUCUCCCCUCUCUGAUUUCUUGCCCAUGACCCUCUAUUAGCUUCAAGACAACUUUUAAAAAUAGUCUCUAAAGGUUUGGGGACAAUUUAACUAUAUUUCAUAUUUUAUUUUAACCAAAGGCAAUUUCUGUAAUUAGUUUUGGCCCUUAGAAAUUUGCAAAGAAACUAUUAGUCCCCUUUGGUUACUAACCGUGAGAUUCCUAUCCAUUACAGCCCUAGGUACCCUCAACUCAUUUCACCAAAAACAUUCUGGUCUCUAGUUUAAAAUGUUCAAAUUAGGUUUGAUCAAAGUUUGACCAAAUUUGGCUAUUUUUGUUAAAAACCUAACUUACCUUUUCCAAAAAUUCUGAAAGUUUACAAGCAGCCUCUCGGAUCAAUGAGAGGCCAACCCAUAAAUUUCCAGCUCCUAAAUCAUUUUCCUUGUGCAGUUUUCUUUCUGUCGAACAGGUUGUGUGCACUGUUCGAGGGAGGGGGAUCUCAUCUUCAAUCUCAUGAGUGGCAAGCCCUCGCUGCUUGCGCACUAUGCCUCGAGCCUAUCCAUCGCGUCGCACGGUCCUUUGACCAGUUGCACGCGUCAGUGGUGAGUUGGUCCAAGCUCGCCACCUCUGGCAACAGCGCCAGCAACGGCUGCCGCGACCGUCAACAAACAUUGCUGCAAAGCAACGCCGCCCGGCACCGCCCAAGCGUCAUGCAAGCUCCGCGUGCUCGUCCCCUACCCAUGCGCGCCGCGAUGCCCAUCAUCACACUCUGGAUAGCGCAGAGCGCGUCUUCUGCCGCCGACGCGUCCGUGACGAGACGCCCCAUUGAUAGCAUGUCCUUGCCGGCAUUAUCUCGUGUUCAAGAGCAAAAUGGAUCACUCGCACACCAUAGCAGCUAACCCGGCCCUGUGAGCACCUGCUAAUCCCUUUGUCUUGCCGCAAUUUGUCGACGGAGUUGGUCCCCCGCGGCUCCCCUCGAGUCCACCUAUAAAUAGACACACCGAGCCCUUGCUAGCGCCACCACUCACCCUCCUCCACUCCAGAGCCUCGCCCCAGCCUCUCGAAGGGAGGGAAGGUCGUCUUCCCCGCCUCCGGCCGCCUAAUUGGGCUAUGAGUCCCGGCUAAAUUUGAGCCAGUAAGAGCAUCCCCGCAACCCAUUAUUUGCCAGCCAGCGCCUAGAGCACUAGCUCAUCCGACCUGCGCGUCGAUUCGGUGACCCGCGCUCUGAUGAGAUCCACCUGCACCCGAAAAGCGUCGUCGCCGGAGUUUGGAGAUGCCGUUGACGUGGUGUCCGCCGACGUGUGACUCCAUGUCCAUCAGAUGCGGAACCUCCUGGUGAGUGCACCCGCACGCUCUUGCCCCUCUAAUCCAUCGCAGGGCGCCACCGGCAACACCACGAGCCUCUACCACCGGCGAGAUACCGAUGGGGAAAGCGCCGACGUCCACUUCACCGAGCUCGAUCCCGACUUUGACAAACGAGGCAAGCAUGUUUGAACACUUGAUGUGAUGUUUGCUGAUGAAAUUUGUUUGAUCAACUGCUGCAUUAACAAACACAUUACAUAUUACAUGAUAUGACCAUAUAUGUGACAAUGAUGACCGAUGUGGUGAUGAGAGGUCGUGGACAGCCUAGUCACGUGGGACGUGAUAGGUUGUGGCCUAAGCAUGCCGGAUGCAUGACUGUGAUGGAUGUCGACCUAGAUCGAGUCUUGUUGUGCGUCACCUUUUAUUUCGUGCUGCCACAGUUCUUUCCAAAAGGGAAUACAAUAUAGUAGGUCGUGAACCUAUUAUUAGUCGCACACGAAGUAGAGGGGUCGGGAUGAAGGUCUCCAUGGCCGUGGAGUAAAGCCAGUCAUCUGGUUAGGGUGCAUGGGUGUUUCCGGUAUGGGACCGAGAGGGAGGGCACUCCCUUGGAGCGCGUGGUAGAAAUUUGACCCAUGCUAGUAGAGGAUGUUGGCCUCCCCGUCUUAUGGGUUUUCCCUGGUAGCGUAGCUCGGGUGAGGACGGUCUUUGCGGGGGAAAAUGGGUGUGUGCUGGUUCUGAGUGUUUGCUUCUAAAAUAACGUACGCAGGAUUAGUCCUAGUGACCAUUGGAACCCGUUUGCUGUGGGUAAAGAGCACAUCCUGUGUAGAGUCAAAACUAUUCGAAUAGCCAUGUGCAUGGUCAAGGACGGCUCGUUGACAUGUCAAGUGUCGGUCUUAGUGUUGGUCCAUGGAGCACAAGUAUUGGUUUAUAAAAUGUUGAUUAUUGACAUCUCACAGUGAUGUGGGAAUUGACUUGAUAAAAACUUGGUUAUUUGGAAUAUCCUGAAGGUUGGUUGUACCACCCGGAUAAUCCUUUGUUAUUUAUUAUGCCCUUUCUUUGGCAUCGCUAAGAUGCCCGACUAUGGCUUGUUAUUUAUUUUGUCCUUUCUGUGGCGUCGCUAAGAUGUCCGACUCUGGCUUGUUAUUUAUUUUACCCUUUCUGUGGCAUCGCUAAGAUGCCCGACUAUGGCUUGCUAUUUAUUUUCCCCUUUCCGUGGCGUCGCUAAGAUGCCCAACUGUGACUUGUUAUAUAUUUUUCCCUUUCUGGCGUCGCUAAUAGGCCCGACUGUGGCUUGUUACUUAUUAUGCCCUUUGUGUGGCGUCGCUAAGAUGCCCAACUAUGACAUGUUAUUUAUUAUGCCCUUUUUGUGGUGUCGCUAAGAUGCCCAACUGUGCCUUGUUCUUAUUAUGCCUUGUAUGUGGUGUCGCUUUGACGCCCGAAGAUGGUUUUUAUUUUGCUUGUUAACCUUUUGAGGUGCCGCUUCAGACACCCGAUCGAUGCAUUUUAUUCUCGUUUGGAUAUUUCAGAAGGACUAUCGCCCGACUUAUCUAUUCUAACUAAAACGUUAUUAAUUUUUUUUAUCAUGAUAACUGUGAUAAUUAACCACGCAUAUGAAAUUGUUGCAUUCACCUUAUCUUUUGUGCAAACUGUUUGCGAGUACUUUUCGAAGUACUCACUGGCUUGUUGAUGUGGUGAGGUAUGGAUGAAGGAGACCUCAUGGAUGAAGAGUACGAUAGCGAGUCCGACGCCUAGAGGAGUCCCAGUCAGUUGUGCGAUCAUGGAGUUCGUCGUUUUAUCAUUUCACCGCUUUUGCCACCAUGAAUAAAUCGUCAAGCCUCACUCUCACGCUUGGCGCGUAGUAGUACUUAUGCCAUGUCACCUCACUCUGAUGUGAAAUGCUCACCUUUAUGCAAACAGUAGAGUUAUCCCAUGACCACUGUAAUAUAUCCGUCCUUAUGAUAGUAUGGGCGUGUUGUAAUAAACUGUAGAGCGAGCUCCGCUCUACCAUGUUUAAUAUUAAGUACUACUGGUUUCUGUAUCAAGAUUGGUCUAUUAGUGUGAAUUAUUUUCUACAUUUGUGACAUUCAUGAUUGAUUUCGAAUAAGUUUAUUUAUUUGGAAACCAGUCCUAAUAACCUUGGUAUCAGAGCCAGGCUAACUGCAAGAAACCACUAUGUGCGAUCACUAACCACAUUAGCUGUUUUUAAUUUAGUGUUCUACAUACUAUAGAGAUUUUUCUGUUAGUCAACAUAUAUUCAUGUUAUGACUUUCUAGAAAUUUUUUCUAUUGUGCAGAUGGCUGGCAACGGUUGUCCAUCACAGGUCUUCGCCAACGAGCCGGCGGGAUUUUCACAACUCCUCUUAGUCAUUGUGAGGAUUGCGAUUGGACCAACGACUCGCACCGAGUACUUGUUCUACCACCACAAGGUUUACAUGAAGAGGGAGAAUGCCGGCAACUGGAAUUCUGGC
Long non-coding RNA from Hordeum vulgare subsp. vulgare (domesticated barley), 3791 nucleotides. RefSeq lists it as uncharacterized. The transcript has 3 exons. Lineage: Eukaryota; Viridiplantae; Streptophyta; Magnoliopsida; Poales; Poaceae. The record is from RefSeq and is a predicted model, not a curated record.